This 328-nucleotide unclassified non-coding RNA is filed under the name soil metagenome. RNAcentral's name for it is "partial contains 5.8S ribosomal RNA, internal transcribed spacer 2, and large subunit ribosomal RNA". The stretch from base 1 to 120 matches the Rfam family "5.8S ribosomal RNA", at positions 35 to 154 of the family's 154-position model. The record is from RNAcentral.
GAUGAAGAACGUAGCGAAAUGCGAUAAGUAAUGUGAAUUGCAGAAUUCAGUGAAUCAUCGAAUCUUUGAACGCACAUUGCGCCCCUUGGUAUUCCGAGGGGCAUGCCUGUUCGAGCGUCAUUAUAACCCCUCAAGCUCAGCUUGGUGUUGGGGCCUGCCGCACGGGCAGCCCUUAAAAUCAGUGGCGGUGCCAUCUGGCUCUAAGCGUAGUAAUUCUUCUCGCUAUAGAGUCCCGGUGGAUGCUUGCCAUUAACCCCCAAUUUUCUAUGGUUGACCUUGGAUCAGGUAGGGAUACCCGCUGAACUUAAGCAUAUCAAUAAGCGGAGGA